This 604-nucleotide ribosomal RNA is filed under the name Fructobacillus fructosus. RNAcentral describes it as "partial 16S ribosomal RNA". It matches the Rfam family "Bacterial small subunit ribosomal RNA", at positions 339 to 934 of the family's 1533-position model. The record is from RNAcentral. Lineage: Bacteria; Bacillati; Bacillota; Bacilli; Lactobacillales; Lactobacillaceae.
AUACGGGAGGCUGCAGUAGGGAAUCUUCCACAAUGGGCGCAAGCCUGAUGGAGCAACGCCGCGUGUGUGAUGAAGGCUUUCGGGUCGUAAAGCACUGUUGUAUGGGAAGAACACUUAGGUUAGGAAAUGGACUUAAGAUGACGGUACCAUACCAGAAAGGGACGGCUAAAUACGUGCCAGCAGCCGCGGUAAUACGUAUGUCCCGAGCGUUAUCCGGAUUUAUUGGGCGUAAAGCGAGCGCAGACGGUUCAUUAAGUCUGAAGUGAAAGCCCACAGCUCAACUGUGGAAUGGCUUUGGAAACUGAUGGGCUUGAGUGCAGUAGAGGCAAGUGGAACUCCAUGUGUAGCGGUGGAAUGCGUANAUAUAUGGAAGAACACCAGUGGCGAANGCGGCUUGCUGGACUGUAACUGACGUUGAGGCUCGAAAGUGUGGGUAGCAAACAGGAUUAGAUACCCUGGUAGUCCACACCGUAAACGAUGAAUACUANGUGUUAGGANGUUUCCNCCCUUNANUGCCNAANCAAACGCAUUAAGUAUUCCNCCUGGGGAGUACNACCNCNAGGUUGAAACUCAAAGGAAUUGACGGGGNACCCCACAAGCGGUG